CCAAUUAAAACAGGACAACAGAACACACAUACCAAAGUCAGCACUGAACACAACAAGGAAUGUCUGAUCAAUAUUUCCAAAUACAAGUUUUCUUUGGUUAUAAGUGGCCUCACUACUAUCUUAAAGAAUGUUAACAAUAUGAGGAUAUUUGGAGAAGCUGCAGAAAAAAAUUUAUAUCUCUCUCAGUUGAUUAUAUUGGAUACACUGGAAAAAUGUCUUGCUGGGCAACCAAAGGACACAAUGAGAUUAGAUGAAACGAUGCUGGUCAAACAGUUACUGCCAGAAAUCUGCCAUUUUCUUCACACCUGUCGUGAAGGAAACCAACACGCAGCUGAACUUCGGAAUUCUGCCUCUGGGGUUUUAUUUUCUCUCAGCUGCAACAACUUCAAUGCAGUCUUUAGUCGCAUUUC
This is a non-coding RNA of Castor canadensis (American beaver), 410 nucleotides long. The record is from RefSeq and is a predicted model, not a curated record. NCBI's taxonomy places the organism in Eukaryota, Metazoa, Chordata, Mammalia, Rodentia, Castoridae.